GACGAACGCUGGCGGCGUGCUUAACACAUGCAAGUCGAACGGAAAGGCCCUGCUUUUGUGGGGUGCUCGAGUGGCGAACGGGUGAGUAACACGUGAGUAACCUGCCACUGCCUUUGGGAUAACUUCAGGACACUGGGGCUAAUACCGGAUAGGAGCUCUCGCUGCAUGGUGGGGGUUGGAAAGUUUCGGCGGUUGGGGAUGGACUCGCGGCGUAUCAGCUUGUUUGGGGGGUAGUGGCUUACCAAGGCUUUGAAACGUAGCCGGCCUGCGAGGAUGACCUGCCAAGUUGGGACGGGAAUGCGGCCCGGACUCCUACGGGACGCAGCGGUGGAGAAGAGUGCACUAUGGACUGAAGCCUAAUGCAGCAACGCCACGUGCGGGAUGACGGCCAUCGGUUUGUAUUCUGCUUUCGCCUGUGACGAAACGUGAGUGACAGUAAUGGGUAAAGAAGCACCGGCUAACUACGUG
This 468-nucleotide ribosomal RNA is filed under the name uncultured bacterium. RNAcentral's name for it is "partial 16S ribosomal RNA". It matches the Rfam family "Bacterial small subunit ribosomal RNA", at positions 28 to 507 of the family's 1533-position model. The record is from RNAcentral.